This 86-nucleotide transfer RNA is filed under the name Alphaproteobacteria bacterium. RNAcentral's name for it is "tRNA-Tyr". It matches the Rfam family "tRNA". Rfam says of the family: Transfer RNA (tRNA) molecules are approximately 80 nucleotides in length. Their secondary structure includes four short double-helical elements and three loops (D, anti-codon, and T loops). Further hydrogen bonds mediate the characteristic L-shaped molecular structure. tRNAs have two regions of fundamental functional importance: the anti-codon, which is responsible for specific mRNA codon recognition, and the 3' end, to which the tRNAs corresponding amino acid is attached (by aminoacyl-tRNA synthetases). tRNAs cope with the degeneracy of the genetic code in two manners: having more than one tRNA (with a specific anti-codon) for a particular amino acid; and 'wobble' base-pairing, i.e. permitting non-standard base-pairing at the 3rd anti-codon position. The record is from RNAcentral. RNAcentral also lists the same sequence under 1 other name. Lineage: Bacteria; Pseudomonadati; Pseudomonadota; Alphaproteobacteria.
GGAGGGGUGGUCGAGUGGUCAAUGGCAGCGGACUGUAAAUCCGCCCUCUUAGGAGUUCGAAGGUUCAAAUCCUUCCCCCUCCACCA